UCCCAUAUAGUCAAGCUGGCUAGAAAAGCUGGCUCUCACCCGAGCAUACCCGGGUUCGAGUCCAGAGGGUGGGAA
Phytophthora infestans T30-4 is the source of this 75-nucleotide non-coding RNA. The record is from the annotation of a RefSeq genome assembly. Lineage: Eukaryota; Oomycota; Peronosporomycetes; Peronosporales; Peronosporaceae.